This 546-nucleotide ribosomal RNA is filed under the name Penicillium urticae. RNAcentral's name for it is "eukaryotic LSU rRNA". The stretch from base 184 to 337 matches the Rfam family "5.8S ribosomal RNA". The record is from RNAcentral. Lineage: Eukaryota; Fungi; Ascomycota; Eurotiomycetes; Eurotiales; Aspergillaceae.
GAUGACAUUACUGAGUGAGGGCCCUCUGGGUCCAACCUCCCACCCGUGUUUAUUGUACCUUGUUGCUUCGGUGCGCCCGCCUCACGGCCGCCGGGGGGCUUCUGCCCCCGGGUCCGCGCGCACCGGAGACACCAUUGAACUCUGUCUGAAGAUUGCAGUCUGAGCAUAAACUAAAUAAGUUAAAACUUUCAACAACGGAUCUCUUGGUUCCGGCAUCGAUGAAGAACGCAGCGAAAUGCGAUAACUAAUGUGAAUUGCAGAAUUCAGUGAAUCAUCGAGUCUUUGAACGCACAUUGCGCCCCCUGGUAUUCCGGGGGGCAUGCCUGUCCGAGCGUCAUUGCUGCCCUCAAGCACGGCUUGUGUGUUGGGCUCCGUCCCCCCGGGGACGGGUCCGAAAGGCAGCGGCGGCACCGAGUCCGGUCCUCGAGCGUAUGGGGCUUUGUCACCCGCUCUGUAGGCCCGGCCGGCGCCAGCCGACAACCAAUCAUCCUUUUUUCAGGUUGACCUCGGAUCAGGUAGGGAUACCCGCUGAACUUAAGCAUAUCA